UACGUAGGGUGCGAGCGUUAAUCGGAAUUACUGGGCGUAAAGCGUGCGCAGGCGGUCCGCAAAGUCUGAUGUGAAAGCCCCGGGCUCAACCUGGGAACUGCAUUGGAAACUAACGGGCUCGAGUGUGGCAGAGGGGGGUGGAAUUCCACGUGUAGCAGUGAAAUGCGUGGAGAUGUGGAGGAACACCGAUGGCGAAGGCAGCCCCCUGGGCUAACACUGACGCUCAGGCACGAAAGCGUGGGGAGCAAACAGG
This 253-nucleotide ribosomal RNA is filed under the name uncultured bacterium. RNAcentral's name for it is "partial 16S ribosomal RNA". It matches the Rfam family "Bacterial small subunit ribosomal RNA", at positions 524 to 776 of the family's 1533-position model. The record is from RNAcentral.